This 266-nucleotide ribosomal RNA is filed under the name uncultured archaeon. Its description in RNAcentral is "partial 16S ribosomal RNA". It matches the Rfam family "Archaeal small subunit ribosomal RNA", at positions 717 to 982 of the family's 1478-position model. The record is from RNAcentral.
AGACAUCUACAUUAGAUACCCGUGUAGUCCCAGCCGUAAACUAUGCGCGUUAGGUGUAUCGGUGACCACGAGUCACCGAGGUGCCGAAGGGAAACCGUGAAACGUGCCGCCGUGGGAAGUACGGUCGCAAGGCUAGAAACUUAAAGGAAUUGGCGGGGAGCACCACAACGGGUGGAGCCUGCGGUUUAAUUGGACUCAACGCCGGGAAGCUCACCGGAUAAGACAGCGGAAUGAUUGCCGGGCUGAAGACUCUGCAUGACUAGCUG